Molecule: ribosomal RNA, 251 nt
Filed under: uncultured prokaryote
Description: partial 16S rRNA
Rfam family: Bacterial small subunit ribosomal RNA
Source: RNAcentral
ACGGAGGAUCCGAGCGUUAUCCGGAUUUAUUGGGUUUAAAGGGUGCGUAGGCGGAAUAAUAAGUCAGUUGUGAAAGUUUGCGGCUCAACCGUAAAAUUGCAGUUGAUACUGUUAUUCUUGAGUGUACAUAAGGUAGGCGGAAUUCGUGGUGUAGCGGUGAAAUGCUUAGAUAUCACGAAGAACUCCAAUUGCGAAGGCAGCUUACCGGGGUACAACUGACGCUGAGGCACGAAAGUGUGGGUAUCAAACAG